Molecule: ribosomal RNA, 407 nt
Filed under: uncultured bacterium
Lineage: Bacteria
Description: bacterial SSU rRNA
Rfam family: Bacterial small subunit ribosomal RNA
Source: RNAcentral
GAUGAACGCUGACAGAAUGCUUAACACAUGCAAGUCGACUGGAAUUCACCCUUCGGGGUGAUAGUACGGUGGCGGACGGGUGAGUAACGCGUAAAGAACUUACCCUCUAGACUGGGACAACUGUUGGAAACGACAGCUAAUACCGGAUAUUAUGAGAACCUCGCAUGGGGAACUUAUGAAAGCUAUAUGCGCUAGAGGAGAGCUUUGCGUGCCAUUAGGUAGUUGGUAGGGUAAUGGCCUACCAAGCCGACGAUGGCUAGCCGGCCUGAGAGGGUGAACGGCCACAAGGGGGACUGAGACACGGCCCUUACCCUACGGGAGGCAGCAGUGGGAAUAUUGGACAAUGGACCAAAAGUCUGAUCCAGCAAUUCUGUGUGCACGAUGAAGGUUUUCGGAUCGUAAAGUGC